This 368-nucleotide ribosomal RNA is filed under the name uncultured fungus. RNAcentral's name for it is "eukaryotic LSU rRNA". It matches the Rfam family "Eukaryotic large subunit ribosomal RNA", at positions 40 to 398 of the family's 3401-position model. The record is from RNAcentral. Lineage: Eukaryota; Fungi.
AUAUCAAUAAGCGGAGGAAAAGAAACUAACAAGGAUUCCCCUAGUAACGGCGAGUGAAGCGGGAUGAGCUCAAAUUUAAAAUCUGGCUGGCUUACGUCAGUCCGAAGUUGUAGUUUAUAGAAGCGUUUUCGGUGGCAGCCUGGGUAUAAAUCCUUUGGAACUAGGGUAUCAUAGAGGGUGAGAAUCCCGUCUCUGACUCAGUGCCAUGCUACUAUGUGAUACGUCUUCAAAGAGUCGAGUUGUUUGGGAAUGCAGCUCAAAAUGGGUGGUAAAUCUCAUCUAAGGCUAAAUAUCGGCGAGAGACCGAUAGCGAACAAGUACCGUGAGGGAAAGAUGAAAAGAACUUUGAAAAGAGAGUUAAACAGUGC